AACGGCCAUACCAUGCUGAAUAUACCGGUUCUCGUUAGAUCACCGAAGUCAAGCGUCAUUGGGCGCGGUCAGUACUUGGGUGGGUGACCACCUGGGAACACCGCGUGCCGUCG
RNAcentral lists this ribosomal RNA (113 nucleotides) under Caerostris darwini. Lineage: Eukaryota; Metazoa; Arthropoda; Arachnida; Araneae; Araneidae. The record is from RNAcentral.